RNAcentral lists this ribosomal RNA (301 nucleotides) under uncultured bacterium. RNAcentral describes it as "partial 16S ribosomal RNA". It matches the Rfam family "Bacterial small subunit ribosomal RNA", at positions 509 to 807 of the family's 1533-position model. The record is from RNAcentral.
CAGUAGCCGCGGUAAUACGGAGGGUGCAAGCGUUAAUCGGAAUUACUGGGCGUAAAGCGCACGCAGGCGGUCUGACAAGUCAGAUGUGAAAUCCCCGGGCUUAACCUGGGAACUGCAUUUGAAACUGUCAGGCUGGAGUCUUGUAGAGGGGGGUGGAAUUCCAGGUGUAGCGGUGAAAUGCGUAGAGAUCUGGAGGAAUACCGGUGGCGAAGGCGGCCCCCUGGACAAAGACUGACGCUCAGGUGCGAAAGCGUGGGGAGCAAACAGGAUUAGAUACCCCUGUAGUCCCUGUCUCCUAUAC